CACGUAGGCGGUCCCGUAAGUCGGGUGUGAAAGCCCUCAGCCUAACUGAGGAACUGCGCCCGAUACUGCGGGGCUUGAGGAUGGGAGGGGAGAGUGGAAUUCCUGGUGGAGCGGUGAAAUGCGUAGAUAUCAGGAGGAAUACCAGUGGCGAAGGCGACUCUCUGGUCCAUUCCUGACGCUGAGGUGCGAGAGCUAGGGGAGCAAACG
This 207-nucleotide ribosomal RNA is filed under the name uncultured bacterium. RNAcentral describes it as "partial 16S ribosomal RNA". It matches the Rfam family "Bacterial small subunit ribosomal RNA", at positions 568 to 774 of the family's 1533-position model. The record is from RNAcentral.